UACGUAGGUGGCAAGCGUUGUCCGGAAUUAUUGGGCGUAAAGCGCGCGCAGGCGGUCCUUUAAGUCUGAUGUGAAAGCCCACGGCUCAACCGUGGAGGGUCAUUGGAAACUGGGGGACUUGAGUGCAGAAGAGGAAAGCGGAAUUCCACGUGUAGCGGUGAAAUGCGUAGAGAUGUGGAGGAACACCAGUGGCGAAGGCGGCUCUCUGGACCGAUACUGACGCUGAGGCGCGAAAGCGUGGGGAGCAAACAGG
This 253-nucleotide ribosomal RNA is filed under the name uncultured bacterium. RNAcentral describes it as "partial 16S ribosomal RNA". It matches the Rfam family "Bacterial small subunit ribosomal RNA", at positions 524 to 776 of the family's 1533-position model. The record is from RNAcentral.